CCCUUAGAUGUUCUGGGCUGCACGCGCGCUACACUGAAGCGUUCAACGAGUAUUCACCUUGCCCGGGAGGGUUGGGUAAUCUUUUGAAAACGCUUCGUGAUGGGGAUAGAUUAUUGCAAUUAUUAAUCUUCAACGAGGAAUGCCUAGUAAGCGUGAUUCAUCAAAUCGCGUUGAUUACGUCCCUGCCCUUUGUACACACCGCCCGUCGCUCCUACCGAUUGAGUGUGUUGGUGAGGAGUUUGGAUUGGCCUCGGAAGGUGGUUCGCCACCGUCCGUAGCUGAGAAGUUCUCCAAACCGCCCCACUUAGAGGAAGGAGAAGUCGUAACA
Molecule: ribosomal RNA, 328 nt
Filed under: uncultured eukaryote
Lineage: Eukaryota
Description: partial 18S ribosomal RNA
Rfam family: Eukaryotic small subunit ribosomal RNA
Source: RNAcentral